UGGAGGACUGAGAAGGUUAAGCAGCUUGUGCUGUGCUGUUAUAACUGGUUAUAGCCUCCGAGAGCAACUAACAAACAACACGACUGUGCAGCUCGGUGUGAUGCCACAGAGCUGACAGCUGUGUUUGUUAACACAAC
Myripristis murdjan (pinecone soldierfish) is the source of this 137-nucleotide small nucleolar RNA. Ensembl annotates it as small nucleolar RNA SNORA47. Lineage: Eukaryota; Metazoa; Chordata; Actinopteri; Holocentriformes; Holocentridae. The record is from Ensembl.